RNAcentral lists this ribosomal RNA (2291 nucleotides) under Atylus swammerdami. Its description in RNAcentral is "bacterial SSU rRNA". It matches the Rfam family "Eukaryotic small subunit ribosomal RNA". The record is from RNAcentral. Lineage: Eukaryota; Metazoa; Arthropoda; Malacostraca; Amphipoda; Atylidae.
CCUAYCUGGUUGAUCCUGCCAGUAGCGAUAUGCUUGUCUCAAAGAUUAAGCCAUGCAUGUGCAAGUCCAAAUGGUGCUAGUCACCGUGAGACCGCGGACGGCUCAUUAAAUCAGUCGUUGUCCAAAUGGGUCAGUCGCAUUUACGUGCAUACUUGGAUAACUGUGGUAAUUCCAGAGCUAAUACAUGCAACCUAAUGUCCUGACGAGUUAGAUUCGUUCGCUCUGAUGGACGCUUUUAUUAGACCAAUCCGAAGCUUGCUUGUGUGGUGAACGCACUCGCAUUCCAAAUGGUGAAUCUGGAUAACACACCCACGGUUAUUGACAAGCGCACACGUGCUCUCCCGGCAACGGAGGCACGGCGCUACCACUUUCGAGUGUCUGACCUAUCAGCUAUCAAUCGUUCGUUAUGUGCGACCGAUGGCUUUGACGGGUAACGGGGAAUCAGGGUUCGAUUCCGGAGAGGCAGCCUGAGAAACGGCUACCACGUCCAAGGACGGCAGCAGGCACGCAAAUUACCCAAUCCCAGCAAAUGCUUGGGGAGGUAGUGACGAGACAUAACGAUGCGGGCGCCUCUUUCGAGGCCUCGCAAUCGGAAUGAGCGUUUGUCUAAAACUCCCGACGAGAACCUACUGAAGGGCAAGUCUGGUGCCAGCAGCCGCGGUAAUUCCAGCUUCAGUGGCGUAUGCUAAAGUUGCUGCGGUUAAAAGGUUCGCAGUUGGAUCUCGAUCUCGUUGUCGCACGCUCGGAUACCCAUCCGCAUGCGUGCGACUCAAUCCCAAACUAUCAGUUAUGGCCAGUGUUGUGUGCAUGUCGCUCCCGCGUCUUCGACGCGGGACUUGGUGUCACGACUUGAGACGGUCUUUAACUGAGUGGCAUCUUGAGCAAAUCGGAGUUCUCAGAGCAGUCGAAGUGUGUGCUGUGCCGCGCGCUUAACGGUGCGUGGUGCAGUGCGUGUGUAUUGGUACGUUGCCUUGCAACACCAAGAAAUGUCGGAAUAUGAAGUCUCAAUCUCGUGGGCCUUGACUUGUCAUUGCUCGCGGGUGGUUGGCAUAUUGUGAGUGCGUGCGGUGCAUGCAGCCUUGGGGAUGAGAUUGGGUUCGCUCUUUCAACACUCCCUUUAAGGUUGCGGCUCGUGCUUCGGUACUGCCAGCCGAGACUUAAUGCAUAACGGAGAUCGCUGAGGUCAGAGGUACUUGAUGGCAAGAGGUGAAAUUCUGUGAUUUGGUGAUGACCGUCGGAGGCGUAAGCUUUUGACAAUAAGGCCCUUGUCAAUCAUGGACGAAAGUCAGAGGCUCGAAGGCGAUCAGAUACCGCCCUAGUUUUGACCGUAAACGAUGCCAACCAUCGAUCCGCCGUAGUACCAUUGUAUCGGGCUCGGCGGGGAGUUCCUCUCUCACGGGAAACCAGAGUCUCUGGGUUCCGGGGGGAGUAUGGUUGCAAAACUGAAACUUAAAGGAAUUGACGGAAAGGCACCACCAGGAGUGGAGCCUGCGGCUUAAUUUGACUCAACACGGGAAAUCUCACCAGGCCCGAACUACGUUGCGAUUGACAGAUUAAAGUUCUUUCAUAAUUUGGAGUGUGGUGGUGCAUGGCCGUUCGUAGUUGGUGGAGUGAUCUGUCUGGUUAAUUUCGAUAACGAACGAGACUCUAGCCUGCUAACUAGUCGGAUGGAUCUCGCUCACAUGGCAAUACGCAGGGCCCCAAGGGGAGCAAUCUCCGCAAGGCACUGAGAGUCCUCCGCUCUAGUGUCUGUAAAACGGCAUAUCUUCUUAGAGGAAUACGCGGCUACUAUCAAAAGCCGUCAGAGACUGAGAGCAAUAACAGGUCUGUGAUGCCCUUAGAUGUUCUGGGCCGCACGCGCGCUACAAUGCUGGGCUCAGCGGGCUGAAAACGUGGGCGUGGAUGCAGGUGGCGCAAGCUGCUUGUUUGAAGCGUUCACAAACCUUCUCCGAGAGGAGCGGGCAACCCGUUGAAAUCCCACUCAUGACUGCCCGUGCUGUCAUUCAGUAAAGCGUGCUUGGGCCUGGGACUUGUAAUUCUUUCCCACAAACGAGGAAUGCCUAGUAGUGGCGGGCCACCGAGCCCGCCGCAACUCAGUCCCUGCCCUUUGUACACACCGCCCGUCGCUACUACCGAUUGGGUGUACCAGUGAGAGCCUUGGACUGGCGUCCCCUGCCACUAAAGCAAUUUGGCGGCAGUUGGGGCUGACGGAAAGAGGUUCGAACUGGUGCACCUAGAGGAAGUAAAAGUCGUAACAAGGUUUCCGUAGUGAACCUGCGGAAGGAUCAUUA